GACGAACGCUGGCGGCGUGCUUAACACAUGCAAGUCGAACGGUGAAGCGCCUUCCUUUUUGGUGGGUGUGGAUGAGUGGCGAACGGGUGAGUAACACGUGAGUAACCUGCCCCCUUCUUCUGGAUAACCGCAUGAAAGUGUGGCUAAUACGGGAUAUUCUGGGUCUGUCGCAUGAUGGGUCUGGGAAAGAUAUUGUUUCGGUGGGGGAUGGGCUCGCGGCCUAUCAGCUUGUUGGUGGGGUGAUGGCCUACCAAGGCGGUGACGGGUAGCCGUCCUGAGAGGGUGGACGGUCACACUGGGACUGAGACACGGCCCAGACUCCUACGGGAGGCAGCAGUGGGGAAUAUUGCACAAUGGGCGCAAGCCUGAUGCAGCGACGCCGCGUGAGGGAUGGAGGCCUUCGGGUUGUGAACCUCUUUCGCCAGUGAAGCAGGCCUGCCUCGUUUGUGGGUGGGUUGACGGUAGCUGGAGAAGAAGCGCCGGCUAACUACGUG
Molecule: ribosomal RNA, 494 nt
Filed under: uncultured bacterium
Lineage: Bacteria
Description: partial 16S ribosomal RNA
Rfam family: Bacterial small subunit ribosomal RNA
Source: RNAcentral